This 489-nucleotide ribosomal RNA is filed under the name uncultured bacterium. Its description in RNAcentral is "bacterial SSU rRNA". It matches the Rfam family "Bacterial small subunit ribosomal RNA", at positions 903 to 1397 of the family's 1533-position model. The record is from RNAcentral.
AAAGGAAUUGACGGGGACCCGCACAAGCGGUGGAUUAUGUGGUUUAAUUCGACGCAACGCGAAGAACCUUACCAAGCCUUGACAUCCCGAGCGAAGCUAUAGAGAUAUAGUGGAGGUUACCUCGGAGACAGGUGGUGCAUGGUUGUCGUCAGCUCGUGUCGUGAGAUGUUGGGUUAAGUCCCGCAACGAGCGCAACCCUUGUUUUCAGUUACCAGCAUUAAGUUGGGGACUCUGGAGAGACUGCCGGUGACAAACCGGAGGAAGGUGGGGAUGACGUCAAAUCAGCAUGCCCCUUAUGGCUUGGGCUACACACGUAAUACAAUGGCGUAUACAAAGGGAAGCGAACCCGCGAGGGGAAGCAAAUCUCAUAAAGUACGUCUCAGUUCGGAUUAGAGUCUGCAACUCGACUCUAUGAAGUUGGAAUCGCUAGUAAUCGUAGAUCAGCACGCUACGGUGAAUACGUUCUCGGGUCUUGUACACACCGCCCGU